This 366-nucleotide ribosomal RNA is filed under the name uncultured Mollicutes bacterium. Its description in RNAcentral is "bacterial SSU rRNA". It matches the Rfam family "Bacterial small subunit ribosomal RNA", at positions 1020 to 1382 of the family's 1533-position model. The record is from RNAcentral. Lineage: Bacteria; Bacillati; Mycoplasmatota; Mollicutes.
CCUCGGCAAUGGAUACAGGUGGUGCAUGGUUGUCGUCAGCUCGUGCCGUGAGGUGUUGGGUUAAGUCCCGCAACGAGCGCAACCCUCAUUGUUAGUUACUACCAUUUCAGGUUUGAAGGGGCUCUAAUGAGACUGCCAACGACAAGUUGGAGGAAGGUGGGGAUGACGUCAAAUCAUCAUGCCCUUUAUGACCUGGGCUACAAACGUACUACAAUGGCCAAUACAAAGAGAUGCGAAGCGGUGACGUGGAGCGAACCUCAGAAAGUUGGUCUCAGUUCAGAUUGAAGUCUGCAACUCGACUUCAUGAAGGCGGAAUCGCUAGUAAUCGCGAGUCAGCAGAUCGCGGUGAAUACGUUCCCGGGUUUU